GUAUUAGUUAUGUUCUUGAAACCCAAAGAAUUUGGCGGUAUUUUAGUCUUUCCAGAGGAACCUGUUCUGUAAUCGAUAGUCCACGGUUUUAUAAACUUAUAAUUGUUUUCAGUUUUUAUACCUCCGUCAUAAGAAUAUUUUUUUAGAAUAAAUUUUCUUAAUUAUCAAAAAUAAGUAUGUCAGGUCAAGGUGAAGCUAAUAUAUAAGUAGAAAUGGGUUACAAUAAUAAUAUUUAUACGGAUUUUAGAAAUUAAAGUCUAUUUAAAGGUGGAUUUGGUAGUAAAAUUAGUUAAUUAACUUUUUUGAUUUUAGCUCUAAAAUAUGCAC
RNAcentral lists this ribosomal RNA (327 nucleotides) under Argia nahuana. Its description in RNAcentral is "partial 12S ribosomal RNA". The record is from RNAcentral. Lineage: Eukaryota; Metazoa; Arthropoda; Insecta; Odonata; Coenagrionidae.